UAUUGAUUUUUUUGUUAUUUAUUUUUGUGGUAUUUAAUUGUUUAAUUGAAGAAUCAUUGUGGUUGUUGUAUUUUUGUGAUUUAAUUUUUUAGGCGAUAGUUUAUUUGUACUGUAAGGGAUUAUUAAGUAUUUUUAUAGAAGUAGAUUUUGUUUAUCGUACCUUGUGUAUCAGGGUUCAUUGAAUUUUAUUAUUUAUUUUUAUUUCCCGAUUUUAAAGGAGUUAAUGAUUUAUGUUAGUUACUGUUUCAUUAGUAUUAAUAAUAGGUUAUUGGUAGUGAAAUGUUAUUCGUCUUUGGAGGUUUCUGGUUUUUCAAGAAAUGAAUUUAAUUCAUGCAUAUUGUUUAAUUUCUGUUGUUUUAUUAUUUAUUUUUAUUUUAUGCUAAGAUUAAGGGGGAUUAGCUCCUUAUUUUAUUUUUAUAAUUAAUUGCUUUGAAUUUAGUUUUGUGGAUUUUAUAUUGAUUUUCAAUUGGAUUAUGUUAAAAUUUUAUUUGUUCUUAUUGUUUAUUUGGCUUUAAUUUAAUUUGUUUAUUGAAAUGUUUAUUUUAUCUUUUGUUGGUAUGGUAAUUAUUGUGUAAUUAGUAAAUUUUGUUGUUAUGUUGUACUACUUUAUUAUGUUAAUUUCUUUUUAGGAAU
RNAcentral lists this ribosomal RNA (633 nucleotides) under Gnathamitermes sp. n. Its description in RNAcentral is "16S ribosomal RNA". Lineage: Eukaryota; Metazoa; Arthropoda; Insecta; Blattodea; Termitidae. The record is from RNAcentral.